RNAcentral lists this ribosomal RNA (253 nucleotides) under uncultured bacterium. Its description in RNAcentral is "partial 16S ribosomal RNA". It matches the Rfam family "Bacterial small subunit ribosomal RNA", at positions 524 to 776 of the family's 1533-position model. The record is from RNAcentral.
UACGGAAGGUGCAAGCGUUGUCCGGAUUUAUUGGGUUUAAAGGGUGCGUAGGUGGCCCUGCAAGUCCGUGGUGAAAGCCUGCCGCUUAACGGCAGAACUGCCAUGGAUACUACAGGGCUUGAGUCCAGACGAGGUUGGCGGAAUGGAUGGUGUAGCGGUGAAAUGCAUAGAUACCAUCCAGAACCCCGAUUGCGUAGGCAGCUGACUAGGCUGGUACUGACACUGAGGCACGAAAGCGUGGGGAGCGAACAGG